This is a long non-coding RNA of Thalassophryne amazonica, 123 nucleotides long. RefSeq lists it as uncharacterized. The transcript has 3 exons. NCBI's taxonomy places the organism in Eukaryota, Metazoa, Chordata, Actinopteri, Batrachoidiformes, Batrachoididae. The record is from RefSeq and is a predicted model, not a curated record.
UUAAUUGUUCAGAGUAGGGCUAAAUCCAGGGUGUUUCCACUAAUGUGAGUUGAACCCUGAAUGCAUUGCUGGAAUCCUAAUGCAUAUAUAAUGUCUAUGAAUGAUUUGCAGAGGGGGUCAGAA